Molecule: long non-coding RNA, 1681 nt
Filed under: Triticum aestivum (bread wheat)
Lineage: Eukaryota; Viridiplantae; Streptophyta; Magnoliopsida; Poales; Poaceae
Description: long non-coding RNA (TAES_LNC015165)
Source: RNAcentral
GACCAACUCCAGUUGAAAUAGUGCUACAUAAGACCAAUUCCACAAAUAAUGUACAGAAGUAGUAGAGCAAGCGCAACAAAGUAUCACUAAUAAACAUAUAAAUGGGAGUCUUCUUCACAGAAUGCAGACCUUGCUCGCAAUCAGUCAUGAUACAUAUGAUAGGGUACGUACUCUGAUUACAUAGCAUCCCAAUUAAUCCAUCACACUCUACAAGUUUUUUUGCGGGUACACUCUACAAGUUAUAACAAAGAUAGUUACUAGAAUUGCAAGUAGGGAAUGCAGCUCUCUUCUCUUCAUUGCUGGAGCCUUUGUCCAUCCAAAAGCUCCCACAUAUCCUUUUUCUUCACAUGGCAAACCUGUUUCAGAGAAAGCAGAGGAGGUUCAGGAUAGCGGCACACAAAUUUCCUUGCUGGAAUCUGAACAUUACAUAGCAGGUUCACAAAUGUACUACUCAUAUUGCGGCACACAACUCCAAAACAGCAGCUUCUUAAGCUCAUGAUUUAGAUGCUGUGUAAAUUAAGCAUGCUAGGUCAGUUCUGAACUACAUAUGGCAAUCUCACUCCAAAUAUGUGCAUAUUUUAACUGCUGAAAUUAAUACUCCAAAUACAUGCAAUGCAACCUCCAGAAAUGUGAGAACACAACACCUAGGCAUGACAUCUGCAAUUACAACUCACUGGCUACGAAUACAUCGGUUCACGGUAAUAGUAAAUCACAGAAGAAAUCUUAUCACAAAUAACAAAACCACUCAAUCUACUAGACGUGACAAAUACAUCUGCAAUGGGUGUGACAUCUGCUUUAUAACUACCGUAAACUGAAUCUAAUCUUACCAAAACCGCAAUGGGUGUGAUAUCUACUUGGACACUUGGAGGUGUUUGGACCAUCGAUCAGCAUUAUUGACUUGUUGAUUUUCAGAAACUAGAUGAUUUUUAGAUCAUUAAUUCAGAAACUUGUUGAUUUUUAUAUAAGUGAUUUCAGAACAUAGCAAACAAAUUCAGAAACUGCAAAGCGAUCAGGCCGGUUCCACUAUCACCUACACCUACACGCGUGCGGAAUGUGACUUUGAAUGUCUGAAUGGAACAAAUUCAGACAUUCAUUGAUGGAUGACUAUGUGGUUUACUGUGCACAUGCAAUGCAAAAGAGAGAACAAAGAAAGAAUGGCAUGAAAUACAGAAGUACAGAACCUGAAUAUUCUGACGGAUGAAUAUCUUUGAAUGUCUGAAUUUGUUCCAUUGUCGCCUACACGCGUGUGGAAUCGUCAGAGGCAGACGGCGGCGCAGGGGGCUGGGAGGGAUACUCGUCCUGGGCGAGAAUCGACGGUUAUAGAUAACGGGGUCAGAGGAUGUACAUGAAAAAACAGGGCCGUCCUCGGCGGCGGCGGCGGAAGAUUAAGCCCCGGGGUUACCUUCCUAUGGAUUGGGUCGCCGGCGUUGAUGGCCGUCAGUGGCUGAUCCAGGGAGGAGGCGCUGCCGUGGGGAGCGCCUAUUCGACGGGGCGAUGCUCGGGGCGCUGGGGCAGCAGAGGAGAGCAGGCGGCUGCGGCUGUGCGAGGGUCGGCGACGGACGGCGGCACGAGCGACAGGAGGGACGCCGGCGGCACCACGAUCGAGGGCAGGGUUGGCGGCGGCGCCUGUGCGAGGGGAUUGAGGAGCCUAACAACGACGAAGGCUGUACCAGGGAUUGAC